UGGCUCAGAUGGUAAAGCAUCUGCCUGCAAUGCAGGAGACCCAGGCUCGAUCCCUGG
This 57-nucleotide transfer RNA is filed under the name Ovis aries (sheep). It matches the Rfam family "tRNA", at positions 8 to 63 of the family's 71-position model. From Rfam's summary of the family: Transfer RNA (tRNA) molecules are approximately 80 nucleotides in length. Their secondary structure includes four short double-helical elements and three loops (D, anti-codon, and T loops). Further hydrogen bonds mediate the characteristic L-shaped molecular structure. tRNAs have two regions of fundamental functional importance: the anti-codon, which is responsible for specific mRNA codon recognition, and the 3' end, to which the tRNAs corresponding amino acid is attached (by aminoacyl-tRNA synthetases). tRNAs cope with the degeneracy of the genetic code in two manners: having more than one tRNA (with a specific anti-codon) for a particular amino acid; and 'wobble' base-pairing, i.e. permitting non-standard base-pairing at the 3rd anti-codon position. The record is from Rfam by way of RNAcentral. Lineage: Eukaryota; Metazoa; Chordata; Mammalia; Artiodactyla; Bovidae.